GUCUCCUGCAGCUACAGAGGAGAUAUCUAGCUGUGAUUUACCCACUUUGAACCAGGGAAAAGUGGCCUUGAGGUCUGAGAUAGCAGGUUCUCGAACUCCUUGGGGUUAAGUUAGGGACCAGGGAGGCUAGUUUGGAAGGUACUCCAACUAAGGUUUGCAGCGGGCUUGCAACGGACCUUCGG
Long non-coding RNA from Ananas comosus (pineapple), 182 nucleotides. RefSeq lists it as uncharacterized. The record is from RefSeq and is a predicted model, not a curated record. The transcript is spliced from 3 exons. NCBI's taxonomy places the organism in Eukaryota, Viridiplantae, Streptophyta, Magnoliopsida, Poales, Bromeliaceae.